Molecule: non-coding RNA, 92 nt
Organism: Caenorhabditis elegans
Lineage: Eukaryota; Metazoa; Nematoda; Chromadorea; Rhabditida; Rhabditidae
Source: Ensembl
CAUUUUAAUUAAUUGUGUUGCGGCAAAUUGGACUCAACAAAUCAGUUGCCUCAAUCUGAAUGCCCCGUUUGACACAAUUAAAAUACCUAUUU